Molecule: long non-coding RNA, 251 nt
Filed under: Amborella trichopoda
Lineage: Eukaryota; Viridiplantae; Streptophyta; Magnoliopsida; Amborellales; Amborellaceae
Description: long non-coding RNA (ATRI_LNC002978)
Source: RNAcentral
CCAGAGUGUUAUAAGGUAUAACAAUGCUAAUUGGAACCAAAAAAAAAUCCAAGAUUGACUAUCAACAAAUAGAUAGAUCUUUACAUAACAAAAGGUACGAAAUCAUGGGGUCAAAUAAACAAAUGUGUAUUUUACGCUCUACUAUGGAGUCUAAAAUUAUUGCUUUUGACUCUGCUGGUAAAGAGGUAGAAUGGAUAAAUAACUUGUUAUAUGAUAUUUCCAUAUAGCCAAAACCAAUACCUGCAAUCACA